Long non-coding RNA from Rhinichthys klamathensis goyatoka, 586 nucleotides. RefSeq lists it as uncharacterized. The transcript is spliced from 2 exons. Lineage: Eukaryota; Metazoa; Chordata; Actinopteri; Cypriniformes; Leuciscidae. The record is from RefSeq and is a predicted model, not a curated record.
UUGAUGAAAAAAUCCACCAAAACAAGAGCUCAGGAUGAGAUGAAGGACCUGAGACGGAAACAUCCAGGAGAAGUACCGACGGUGUAAGAUCGGUCACAGUCACUCCAGAAGUGUGUGUUCAGCCGUGUGUCCGGCGCACUGAAUCGACUGGACUCUCCAUCAUCCGCUUUAGCCUCUUGCAUUUUGGCGUGAAGCAGCAACAUUAGCAUCUGACGCUAUUGCUUUCAGAAGGAUGUGGAAAUAAAUCAUUGCACUUUUGUAAAUACAAAGAGAGUUGAUUAGUUCCUCUGAACAGCCGCAGAGGUUCCUGUCAGAACUUCAGAGAUCUACUGUCAAGUCAAACAAAAAAAAAGUUAUUAGAGAUGAUGUUACAUACAGUGUCUUCAAUUUAAGAUUUGCCGCAUAAAAUAUUAUAUCAAUAAUCAUAUAAUAUAUUAUAAAAUGUAUCUAUUGUUACUACUGUAAUGCCAUAUUACAUUUUUAUGGCAUCUCCUUCAAAGCUUCCAGAUUCUAUCAUUUUUAAAUAUUUAUUUUAAUAUAGAUUUAUUAAUUAUUAUUUAUUAGUUAAAAUAAACAGAAAAUAGUA